UGGCGAACGGGUGAGUAACGCGUGGGUAACCUGCCUCAUACAGGGGAUAACAGUUGGAAACGGCUGCUAAUACCGCAUAAGCGCACAGUACCGCAUGGUACCGUGUGAAAAACUCCGGUGGUAUGAGAUGGACCCGCGUCUGAUUAGCUAGUUGGUGGGGUAACGGCCUACCAAGGCGACGAUCAGUAGCCGACCUGAGAGGGUGACCGGCCACAUUGGGACUGAGACACGGCCCAAACUCCUACGGGAGGCAGCAUG
Molecule: ribosomal RNA, 258 nt
Filed under: uncultured bacterium
Lineage: Bacteria
Description: partial 16S ribosomal RNA
Rfam family: Bacterial small subunit ribosomal RNA
Source: RNAcentral